This 426-nucleotide ribosomal RNA is filed under the name uncultured bacterium. RNAcentral's name for it is "bacterial SSU rRNA". It matches the Rfam family "Bacterial small subunit ribosomal RNA", at positions 354 to 796 of the family's 1533-position model. The record is from RNAcentral.
GUGAGGAAUUUUCCGCAAUGGGCGAAAGCCUGACGGAGCAAUGCCGCGUGAAGGAUGAAGGCCUAUGGGUUGUAAACUUCUUUUCUCAGAAAAGAAUUAUGACGGUAUCUGAGGAAUAAGCAUCGGCUAACUCUGUGCCAGCAGCCGCGGUAAGACAGAGGAUGCAAGCGUUAUCCGGAAUGAUUGGGCGUAAAGCGUCUGUAGGUUGUUUAAAAAGUAUUCUGUCAAAGAUUAGGGCUUAACCCUAGAUAGGCAGAAUAAACUUUUAAGCUAUAGGUUGGUAGAGGCAGAGGGAAUUCCCGGUGGAGCCGUGAAAUGCGUAGAUAUCGGGAGGAACACCAAAGGCGAAGGCACUCUGCUGGGCCAAUACUAACACUGAGAGACGAAAGCGAGGGGAGCAAAUGGGAUUAGAAACCCUUGUAGUCC